AACGCACAUUGCGCCCGCCAGCAUUCUGGCGGGCAUGCCUGUUCGAGCGUCAUUUCAACCCCUCAGGCCCUGGCGCCUGGUGUCGGGGCCUCUCCCUCGCGGGAGAGCCCUCAGAAUCAGUGGCGGACCCGCCGCGGCUCCGAGCGCAGUAGUUUCUUAAUUCUCGCUAGGGAGGCCCGCGGGGGACAUCCGGCCGUAAAACCGGGCACUAGCCCAACCCCACAAGGUUGACCUCGGAUCAGGUAGGAAUACCCGCUGAACUUAA
Molecule: unclassified non-coding RNA, 265 nt
Filed under: uncultured fungus
Lineage: Eukaryota; Fungi
Description: partial contains 5.8S ribosomal RNA, internal transcribed spacer 2, and large subunit ribosomal RNA
Source: RNAcentral